This 1860-nucleotide long non-coding RNA is filed under the name Zea mays. RNAcentral's name for it is "long non-coding RNA (ZMAY_LNC004088)". Lineage: Eukaryota; Viridiplantae; Streptophyta; Magnoliopsida; Poales; Poaceae. The record is from RNAcentral.
AGGUGAAGAAGGCAUUGAAGAAACAACACUCUCAAGGUCUGUGUCACCCUGACCCCGUUCAGAUCCUGCGUACUCCAACAUCAGUUGUUUGGCCCUCUCCUGUGAUUUGGGGCUCAGUGUCCUGUUAAGAUCACGUGCAGAGACCUUCCCUGAUGGAGUCUGAUAAUUGCGGAGCUCGAAUCUCAGACAGGCAUUGACCCAGCGCAGGUAUACCAACUCCUCUACUUCACUGAACCUGUUCAUCUGUAGGCCUUCCACUUGCUUUGUGAGGUCCUCAUUUGUAUGCCUCAGCUUGUUUAUCUCUUCUCUUGCAUUGGCAACUACAUCACUCUGCAUGAUAUACAGUAGGGUGUGUCAUUAGCACAUGUUCCAGCUUCUCAAAGUAUAUCAAACUAUAUGAAUACUUUGCAGAAAUCUCUAGGUGCAUUCUUGCCUCUCAGGCUAGUUUGGAAACUUAAAUCCCCUCCGGGAUUCCCGGAAAUUGAGCGGGAAAUUAGCUCAUUUUCCCAUUUUCCCAUCAAUCCCCGGGAAUCCCGGAGGGAAUUUAAGUUUCCAAACUAACCCUUAGAGAACCUUAAAUUCUGACAUAGUUGUUAAAUGUAAUGCUACCUCUGAAAUCAUGCUUUAGUAAGUACUUUAGGUAACUGCAUUUUCAUUGUACUGGUCUGAAAAUAUGUUAAUUCUAUGCUGUGUAAUAUCUUGCAUAAUGAUAAUCAUGUAUAAGACGAAAUUUCAAUUUUGCAGUCAUCUUGAUGAGAUUUGUUUUCUGUUUAUGAGAAGGGCAACUUGUAGAGACUCAUAAUACUAAGAUACCUCAGUUAUUUUCCCUUCAGCUGCAUCCAACUUCACAAUGAGAUCUCUCUUCUCAUACAACAACUCCUUGUUCUUCCUCCUUAGCUCAAGUACCUCCACUUCCAACUCCCUGAGCUUCUUCAGCUUCCGUUGAACCUCAGCUUCCUUUUUCCCCGCCUCUUCCUCCUUGGCCUUCAAUCCGAUGACCUGUUGUUUCAGCAACAUCAGCUGACCCUUUGUCUGGCCUGCUUCUAGCUGUAUCUGCCGCUGCAGCUCCUUGAUCUUGCCUCUAGCCGCUUCAAGCUCUUUAUUGGCAACCUCUCCACAUGCAACGUCAUCUUGCAGCUUCUUCCGCUCCGCCUGCAGUGAGUUUAUGGUGUCGUUGAGCAUGUUGAUCUCCGCUGUCUUGAUCUUGAGCUGCUUUUGCAGUUCGGCGAUGUCAGUCUCCAUUUCCUUCAUUCCAUAGUACUCUAGCAGCUCGCCCUCAAGCUUCGCCUCUCUCUCUUCCAUUUCCCUCACCAGGCUGCGCAGCUUCUCUAUCUCAGAGGCCUCGUUAGCCAUGUAAGCGUUGUUGUACCGUGACCGUCCAUUAACGUCGAAGCGAUCGCUUGGUAUAGGGAUGUCAAUGUCUCCUGAUAGGAGGCUUUCGAUCUCGGAAAGCAUAUCAUCGUCGUCAUCGCCUAGCGAGCGGGCUGAGUUGAUUAUGCCGCUGAUUGUUUUAACCUCUUCCUUCUCUUCUUCUUUCUCCCCCUGUAACAGCAGUUGGAGAGGUAAGUAUGACAUAGGCCACUAAUACAACACAAUUUUCUUUUAGCAAACUUUGAACUGACAUAAGAUGUACAUACAUGUUCAGAAUUGUUAGCCUUAUCCUUCCUUUUCCUUGCUUGGACAUAGUCUGAAAACAGGGACCCUUGAAUGAAGAAUUCAAAUGAAGAGAAGAAACCUAAGGAAAGGAGAGCAGAACAAGAUUGGUACCUUUGCUGUGCCUGGCCCCACUGUUAGCUCUCUGAAGAGUUAAAGCUGCGACGGAGGCUACAACGACAAAGCCUAAUCUCACAAGCAUGACUC